Molecule: ribosomal RNA, 311 nt
Filed under: uncultured bacterium
Lineage: Bacteria
Description: bacterial SSU rRNA
Rfam family: Bacterial small subunit ribosomal RNA
Source: RNAcentral
GAUGAACGCUAGCUACAGGCUUAACACAUGCAAGUCGAGGGGCAGCGCAGUGUAGCAAUACAUGGGCGGCGACCGGCGCACGGGUGCGUAACGCGUAUCCAACCUUCCCGUUACUCAGGGAUAGCCUUCCGAAAGGGAGAUUAAUACCUGAUGGUGUUGAAAUUCCGCAUGUUAUUUCAACUAAAGAUUUAUCGGUAACGGAUGGGGAUGCGUGACAUUAGAUAGUAGGCGGGGUAACGGCCCACCUAGUCUACGAUGUCUAGGGGUUCUGAGAGGAAGGUCCCCCACACUGGAACUGAGACACGGUCCAG